Molecule: long non-coding RNA, 166 nt
Organism: Telopea speciosissima
Lineage: Eukaryota; Viridiplantae; Streptophyta; Magnoliopsida; Proteales; Proteaceae
Exons: 2
Source: RefSeq, a predicted model, not a curated record
GUUUUUGUUCAUGGCGGGAAGAGAAAUGACAAGAAUGGCAGAGAAACUGGUCAGAGUGGAUGAGCUACGGCCUUGGUCUGAACUUCCUACGGAAUUCCUGGAGCUCAUUGUGUCCUGUCUGUGCCUCGAAGAUUAUGUUCGCUGGUCCUGUGUUUGUAAGGAUUGG